AAAACACGUGCAUAGUCCCGUUGGAUCCAAGUUCUAAAAGUGCCUGGGACAGACUCGGGCCGACCUAAAAAAAUUUCGAGCCUGGUUUUCUUUGAUCAAGCGUGGCCCUAAAGGAGGCGUGGGCCGGCUAGAGGCCAGUGGCCCGAGCCGAGCCUAAAAUGAUCGGGUCUAGCAGUACCCAUAUCAUUUUUUGGAUAAUACGAUAACACUGAACUAUCAGAGGGGUAAUGAGGUAUGAUUAUCUAUGGUACCUGUAGUCGAGUUAUU
RNAcentral lists this long non-coding RNA (267 nucleotides) under Setaria viridis. RNAcentral's name for it is "long non-coding RNA (SVIR_LNC001590)". The record is from RNAcentral. Lineage: Eukaryota; Viridiplantae; Streptophyta; Magnoliopsida; Poales; Poaceae.